RNAcentral lists this ribosomal RNA (484 nucleotides) under uncultured bacterium. Its description in RNAcentral is "partial 16S ribosomal RNA". It matches the Rfam family "Bacterial small subunit ribosomal RNA", at positions 29 to 523 of the family's 1533-position model. The record is from RNAcentral.
AGUGAACGCUGGCGGCGUGCUUAACACAUGCAAGUCGAACGAGAACGGAUUAUAGCUUGCUAUAAUUGUCAGCUAAGUGGCGCACGGGUGAGUAAUGUAUAGGUAAUAUGCCUCUUACUAAGGGAUAACAAAUGGAAACGUUUGCUAAUACCUUAUACUCCUUAUUAACAGAAGUUAAUAAGUGAAAGAUUUAUUGGUAAGAGAUUAGCCUGUAUUGUAUCAGUAAGUUGGUGGGGUAAUGGCUUACCAAGACUAUGACACAUAACUGGUUUGAGAGGAUGAUCAGUCACACUGGAACUGAGACACGGUCCAGACUCCUACGGGAGGCAGCAGUGGGGAAUAUUGCACAAUGGACGGAAGUCUGAUGCAGCAACGCCGCGUGGAGGAUGACACAUUUCGGUGCGUAAACUCCUUUUAUAUGAGAAGAUAAUGACGGUAUUAUAUGAAUAAGCACCGGCUAACUCCGUGCCAGCCGCCGCAGUAA